RNAcentral lists this transfer RNA (71 nucleotides) under human gut metagenome. It matches the Rfam family "tRNA". From Rfam's summary of the family: Transfer RNA (tRNA) molecules are approximately 80 nucleotides in length. The record is from RNAcentral.
GGGGUAUAGCUCAGCUGGGAGAGCACCUGCCUUGCAAGCAGGGGGUCAGCGGUUCGAUUCCGCUUAUCUCC